RNAcentral lists this ribosomal RNA (484 nucleotides) under uncultured bacterium. Its description in RNAcentral is "partial 16S ribosomal RNA". It matches the Rfam family "Bacterial small subunit ribosomal RNA", at positions 30 to 507 of the family's 1533-position model. The record is from RNAcentral.
AUUGAACGCUGGCGGCAGGCCUAACACAUGCAAGUCGAGCGGAUGAAGGGAGCUUGCUCCUGGAUUCAGCGGCGGACGGGUGAGUAAUGCCUAGGAAUCUGCCUGGUAGUGGGGGAUAACGUCCGGAAACGGGCGCUAAUACCGCAUCCGUCCUGAGGGAGAAAGUGAGGGAUCUUCGGACCUCACGCUAUCAGAUGAGCCUAGGUCGGAUUAGCUAGUUGGUGGGGUAAAGGCCUACCAAGGCGACGAUCCGUAACUGGUCUGAGAGGAUGAUCAGUCACACUGGAACUGAGACACGGUCCAGACUCCUACGGGAGGCAGCAGUGGGGAAUAUUGGACAAUGGGCGAAAGCCUGAUCCAGCCAUGCCGCGUGUGUGAAGAAGGUCUUCGGAUUGUAAAGCACUUUAAGUUGGGAGGAAGGGCAGUAAGUUAAUACCUUGCUGUUUUGACGUUACCAACAGAAUAAGCACCGGCUAACUUCGUG